GACGAACGCUGGCGGCGUGCCUAAUACAUGCAAGUCGAGCGCAGGAAAUCGACGGAACCCUUCGGGGGGAAGUCGACGGAAUGAGCGGCGGACGGGUGAGUAACACGUAAAGAACCUGCCCUCAGGUCUGGGAUAACCACGAGAAAUCGGGGCUAAUACCGGAUGGGUCAUCGGACCGCAUGGUCCGAGGAUGAAAGGCGCUUCGGCGUCGCCUGGGGAUGGCUUUGCGGUGCAUUAGCUAGUUGGUGGGGUAAUGGCCCACCAAGGCGACGAUGCAUGGCCGACCUGAGAGGGUGCUCGGCCACACUGGGACUGAGACACGGCCCAGACUCCUACGGGAGGCAGCAGUAGGGAAUCUUCCACAAUGGACGAAAGUCUGAUGGAGCAACGCCGCGUGAACGAUGAAGGCCUUCGGGUCGUAAAGUUCUGUUGUAAGGGAAGAACAAGUGCCGCAGGCAAUGGCGGCACCUUGACGGUACCUUGCGAGAAAGCCACGGCUAACUACGUGCCAGCCGCCGCAGUAA
This 524-nucleotide ribosomal RNA is filed under the name uncultured bacterium. Its description in RNAcentral is "partial 16S ribosomal RNA". It matches the Rfam family "Bacterial small subunit ribosomal RNA", at positions 28 to 523 of the family's 1533-position model. The record is from RNAcentral.